GAACGGAGUUAGCUAGUAUGAACAAGUUACUACUUUGAGUGUAUUCAUUAAGGCCUCUUAUAUAGACUGUUUAUGGUUUCAUUUUUCUAGAUGCUAUGUUUCAAAAGUAAUAAUAUAGUCAACCGGGGCUAUUUCGUUCCGGGGCUAUUCCGUUUCCUUAAUAAACCAAUGGUGAAACACGUGUAGUCACGCGGAAUAGCCCCACCUAGGGGGUGUUCUUUCUAGGCUUAUAACUUGGGAACCACGGGGUUUUAAGACCCAAAACUGGUGCCAGUGGAUCUAGGAUGGAUCAAGCUGGAGAAUGGCACCAAAGAUGAUGAAUAAAUGAAUAAAACGUGGGAAAAAAACGCGGGUGAGAGAGCUUAUUUUAGCACUAGAAGACUCUAAGGACACUUUUAAUAGCUACUGCUAAAUGCACUAGACUUUUAUAACAAUAAUACAUUAUUAUAAUCA
Long non-coding RNA from Amphimedon queenslandica, 453 nucleotides. RefSeq lists it as uncharacterized. The transcript is spliced from 3 exons. Lineage: Eukaryota; Metazoa; Porifera; Demospongiae; Haplosclerida; Niphatidae. The record is from RefSeq and is a predicted model, not a curated record.